GACGAACGCUGGCGGCGUGCUUAACACAUGCAAGUCGAACGGAAAGGCCCUGCUUUUGUGGGGUGCUCGAGUGGCGAACGGGUGAGUAACACGUGAGUAACCUGCCCUUGACUUUGGGAUAACUUCAGGAAACUGGGGCUAAUAUCGGAUAGGAGCUCCUGCUGCAUGGUGGGGGUUGGAAAGUUUCGGCGGUUGGGGAUGGACUCGCGGCUUAUCAGCUUGAUGGUGGAGUAGUGGCUUACCAAGGUUUUGACGGGUAGCCGGCCUGGGAGGGUGACCGGCCACAUUGGGACUGAGAUACGGCCCAGACUCCUACGGGAGGCAGCAGUGGAGAAUAUUGCACAAUGGGCGGAAGCCUGAUGCAGCAACGCCGCGUGCGGAAUGACGGCCUUCGGGUUAUAAACCGCUUUCGCCUGUGACGAAGCGUGAGUGACGGUAAUGAGUAAGGAAGCACCGGCUAACUACGUG
RNAcentral lists this ribosomal RNA (468 nucleotides) under uncultured bacterium. Its description in RNAcentral is "partial 16S ribosomal RNA". It matches the Rfam family "Bacterial small subunit ribosomal RNA", at positions 28 to 507 of the family's 1533-position model. The record is from RNAcentral.